Long non-coding RNA from Chelonia mydas (Green sea turtle), 1129 nucleotides. RefSeq lists it as uncharacterized. The record is from RefSeq and is a predicted model, not a curated record. Lineage: Eukaryota; Metazoa; Chordata; Testudines; Cheloniidae. The transcript has 4 exons.
AGGACUGGCUGCCUAAGAGGAGUACCAGAGAUAGGGUCAGGGGGCCAAUAGGAAGCUCCAGCCUGAGGACUGCUGGACUGAGGCCCCUGAUACAAAGGGCUAGGAAGGUGCUAGGGCUACAGGAAAGUGGCCAAGGGAAAUAGGUGGUGGGAGUUGGAAGGGCAGCAGCACGUGGCUGCCAGCUAUAGGGUCCCUGGGACAGGCCCUGGAGUAAUGGGCAGACCUGGGUUUCCUCCCAUGGCCCCCCCCUUGCCACUGAGGGGAAUGGCCAGUGCAUGGACUGCAGUUCACCACUGAGGAGAGUGGCCAGAUUAGAGACUGCAGUGUGCCACUGAGGGAAGUGGCUGGACUGAGGACUGUCAGAUCCCCUGGAAGUGGGGAGAGAACCAAGUGGGGCACAGCCAAAGGGUUGUGUCCAGAAGAGGAUGCUGCGGUCCGGGGAGCAACGUGGGGUCUUAGAGGUGGAGCAGAAGCGAUGGCCGUGAGACACCACUAGAGGAAGGUGCACUGGCAACCAAGAGCUAAUUCCCAGCACAGCCAGCAGGAGGCGCCAAGGUGGUGAGUCAGGCCCCCGUCACAAGCACCCAUAGGGACACACAUCUCGAAGAACCACAGUUAUUGCACAGGAGCAGGUCAUUUCUAACUCUUCAAACCAUUAACCAGCCACACCUUGAGCUGGAGGACCUGGAAAUUGGGCUGAUGGACCUUGUGGCAUCUUGAGAGAGGAGAUGAGGAACAGGCUGGAGAACAAUUGGUUGGCAAACAGCAAGCUCAGUAAGGUGCCCAAUGCCAUGUGAGUCAGAAGCUGGAGGCAGUUUCUGGACAAUGUCUGAGAGCUGACCUGGACUGCUGAGAUGAAAUUGAUCAGAGUGUUGAACCUGUGUAAGGAAAGGAAUGGUUUGGCUGCUACUGCAUCAAGGCAUGUAAAUUUUCAGCAAACACAAGAUGGCUUUAGAAUCUCUUAAUGUGUGGAGGGAUUCAUCAGUUUUCUCGGCAAACAACUUUGAUCCCUCAAAUGGAAGGUCCUUGACUGUAGACUGGAGGCAGUUUGGAAAGCAGAAUAACUGAAGCCAGGAAGUCCUCCUCAUGACCACCGCCGUGGAGAUAGAAUGAGUAGCUUAGGUCAGUG